UACGUAGGGGGCGAGCGUUGUCCGGAAUUAUUGGGCGUAAAGCGCGCGCAGGCGGUCCCUUAAGUCUGAUGUGAAAGCCCACGGCUCAACCGUGGAGGGUCAUUGGAAACUGGGGGACUUGAGUGCAGAAGAGGAGAGCGGAAUUCCACGUGUAGCGGUGAAAUGCGUAGAGAUGUGGAGGAACACCAGUGGCGAAGGCGGCUCUCUGGUCUGUAACUGACGCUGAGGCGCGAAAGCGUGGGGAGCAAACAGGAUUAGAUACCCUGGUAGUCCACGCCGUAAACGAUGAGUGCUAAGUGUUAGAGGGGUCAAACCCUUUAGUGCUGCAGCUAACGCGUUAAGCACUCCGCCUGGGGAGUACGGCCGCAAGGCUGAA
This 376-nucleotide ribosomal RNA is filed under the name uncultured bacterium. RNAcentral describes it as "bacterial SSU rRNA". It matches the Rfam family "Bacterial small subunit ribosomal RNA", at positions 524 to 898 of the family's 1533-position model. The record is from RNAcentral.